GGUUGUACUGUCCCUUUAAGGAUCACUGCUUCUCAUACCUGUCUCCACCCUAUUUAAGGCACACCUGUUUCACUCAUUCUUUGCUUAGUAUUGAUAUACACUUCAAUUGCCUAGCCAGUUUUGUCUGAACUCUGCUCACUCAAAUUUGCUACCAGCAAGUUUUUCUUUGGAUUCAAGUUUUCUCACGAACUUUGCUGCUGUUGCUUUUUACUUGCAACCUUCAGUUUCCUCUGAAACUCCUGUGAUUUACUAACCUCCACUUCAAUUGUUUUCUUACAAUUACCUUGGACGCUACUGCUCCUGUCUCCUGUCUCAGCACUUCCACGGAGCUCCGCAACUACCGCGGUGACGUCACACGCCAGCUGCUCUCUCUCUCGCUACUCAGCUCUAGCCUGCUCUUCCGACUACGCUGUAAGUGUUACUACUUCUGACUCUCAGCCUUGAUAUGUGCCAGCACUAUAACGCUUACCAUUAUAAUAUUCUCAAAAUGCAUAUGUCUUCUUGUCAGUGUUCUUUUGUUUAUUAACAUUGUUCCAACCUUCGCAUAUAUCUACUCUCAUAUGUGAAGCUCCAAGUUUACUUACACAAGCCUGCUGACACUUCAUAUAAUUACUGAUCGUUCAUUCUGACCAUUUAUCUCCUAUAAAUUUGGGUAUUCUGAUUAACAUCUUACCGGAGGAACUGUGUUUCAUGUUUUCACUGCAGACUAGAGUGUAGCCACUCUUUUCAGCCUGCAAUAGGGUUAACAUAGCGAAUCUCCUCCUUUACAUUAAUUACAGCCUGCUGAUACAGGAAAGCCGCCUUCACACAUCCUGUGACUAUUGUGGUUUUCAGUAUCUUCUUGCUACAUACACUCUCUAUUGUUGCCACCUUCCAUCUCAGCAGUUGUGAUUCACCUGACCUGUUCAAAAUACUGUGUCUUUAUUUUAGAUUUCCUAAACCAGUAUGACAGAAUACUAAGCCCUUUUAAAACCUAUGGAUCCAGCUGAGAUUAACACUCACAUGCAGGCAUUAACACAAAGAGUAGAUUUGUUAACAAAUGGUUUAAACGCAUUAAAAGUGGAGAAUGAUAACCUUAAAGCAUACAUUAGGGAUGUAGUAGACAAAAGAACACCUAUAUAUGAACCCCAGGUUAGUCCUCCAGAUUGUUUCCAUGGAGACAGGACUCUCUACAGAGAGUUUAAAAAUGCAUGCCUGUUAUUGUUUGCUUUGAGACCUCAUACCUACCCAAACGAUAGGAUUAGAGUACUCACGACCAUAUCUUACCUUAGAGGUGAACCCCGUACAUGGGCAAACACUUACUUUGAGAAUAAUGAAGAGAUAUUGAAUUCUUUGGAUAAUUUUUUUGUCUCAAUGGAUCAAUUGUAUGAGGAUCCAUACAAACAGCUUACAGCUGAAAACGCCAUGCGUGGCCUUAAGCAAAAGAAGAGGGUAGUCGAAGACUACAUCACAGAAUUUAAAAAAAUGGGCAAAGGACUCUCAAUGGAACAAUCUGUCCCUUAGGAACCAGUUCAGACUCGGCCUCUCUGAGGGAAUAAAAGACGAGUUGUCUCGCACAGAUAUCCCAGAUACCUUAGAAGACCUCAUGUCACUUAGUAUUACAAUAGAUAGGCGCCUCAGGGAAAGGUACCAAGAAAAGACUGGGCAUGACUCUAACCCUAGGAAAACUUCCUACCCCACACAUGCCUCUUCCUUACACAAAAACACCCCUGAACCCAUGGACAUUGCCUUCAUCAAAGGUCCUCUGUCUCCUCAAGAGAAGCUCAGACGUCGUUCCAAUAAUCUAUGCCUGUACUGUGCCUCUGACGAACACACUGUGAAAGACUGCCCUUCUCUCCUAAAACAAAACAAGGUGGGAACAACUUCGUCUUCACGCCACCGCGAUAAUUGAUUCUGGUGCCACGGCUUCUUAUAUAGAUAAGGAAUUUUGCACUGUAAAUAAAAUACCACUGAUGCAGAAA
This is a long non-coding RNA of Bombina bombina (fire-bellied toad), 1961 nucleotides long. RefSeq lists it as uncharacterized. The transcript has 2 exons. Lineage: Eukaryota; Metazoa; Chordata; Amphibia; Anura; Bombinatoridae. The record is from RefSeq and is a predicted model, not a curated record.